Long non-coding RNA from Solanum lycopersicum (tomato), 1061 nucleotides. RefSeq lists it as uncharacterized. The record is from RefSeq and is a predicted model, not a curated record. Lineage: Eukaryota; Viridiplantae; Streptophyta; Magnoliopsida; Solanales; Solanaceae.
GACAUUUUGAAAAAUUUCGCUUUGUUUUAUCCGAGUAAAACCCAGACCAAAUCCCCUUUAAUUCCCGUCCAAUUCGACCCGGCCCACUCGCCCCUUCGCCCCAUUUAGUAGAGAAAAGCAACGCUGAACAGUGAUCCAAAAACGCGGAAGAGCAUCGCACGUGAAUAGUUAACCAAACGAAUUAUGCUCCUUCUCCAGUCUGGGGUUUUCCUUUUCUCGUACGAUUCCUACAACUAUGGCAGGUUCCCACCACGCGUCGUGCUGGAGCUUUGGAAUUGAGCCAUAUUAUAUCCAAGGACGAAGAAGGUGAUCCCAAUCGUCCACCUUAUAUUUCUAUCCGUUCAAUUGGAGGAUCGUUUGGGAAUUUUAAAGAUUUUUGGGACAAAUUUGAAGGAAUUUCAAACCUUUGGUUGAAAACUUAGUUUUGCCCUUGUCCUUUUCCUCCUAAAAGAUGAACCCUAAUUCACCCCCCUAUAUAUAUUUUGGUAUCUCUAGUGUUCUGUGGGGAAUUUUUUUUUAGGGUUAAAAACAAUUAUUGUGCGAAGCUUUUGUGUGAAGAGUAAAAUAGCCUGCAAAUUAUACAACAAAUACAUUCGCAACAAAUAUCAUUGUGAUUUUGGUCGUUUUGUUCGCUAAAUCCAAAGAGUGAUCUCGAUCGGGUGUCUAAGGUGUGAAGGUGGUCGUUCUUCCGUUCGUCUUGUCACCAGCUUUGCCGCCCCGUUAAAGGUCUCGAGUUGGAAGGAUUCAAAAAUCAGGAAGUCGAAGAUUUGAAGAAGUUAUGCCAAAGGACAUCCACUUUAUCUUCUUUCAUAUUUGUAUUUUGUUAUUUUGGGCCUAAGCCCUUGUCAUUUUUUAUUUUCUUGUAUUUCUUAUUUAUUAUUAUUAUAUGUUUAGUCUAGGACAGGUACGAAAGAAACUGGGUCGAAUACCCAAAAGUCAAAUGGGUCGAAAACCAAAGACAGGCGGGUCGAAAUACUGGUAAAGGCGAACAGUAAGCCCGGAUUUGGACCCAAAUGUCUCUCUCUGUCUCUCUCUUUACUUGCUUUUAUUUGCUUAUAUGA